CCUACGGGGUGCAGCAGUGGGGAAUAUUGGGCAAUGGGCGCAAGCCUGACCCAGCCACGCCGCGUGAAGGAAGACGGCCCUAGGGUUGUAAACUUCUUUUACCAAGGACGAAACAAAUGACGGUACUUGAUGCAUAAGCCACGGCUAACUACGUGCCAGGAGUCGCGGUAAUACGUCGGUGGCAAGAGUUAUCCGGAUUUAAUUGGUGUAAGGGGCGUGUAGGCGGGACUGCAAGUCAGAUGGGAAAACCAUGGGGCCAACCCAUGGCCUGCAGUUGAAACUGUAGUUCUUGAGUGUUGGAGAGGCAUGCGGAAUGCCGGGUGUAGCGGUGAAAUGCGUAGAUAUACGGAGGAACACCAGUUGCGAAGGCGGCCUGCUGGACAAUAACUGACGCUGAGGCGCGAAAGCGUGGGGAGCAAACAGGAUUAGAUACCCUAGUAGUC
This 443-nucleotide ribosomal RNA is filed under the name uncultured bacterium. RNAcentral describes it as "partial 16S ribosomal RNA". It matches the Rfam family "Bacterial small subunit ribosomal RNA", at positions 338 to 795 of the family's 1533-position model. The record is from RNAcentral.